GCACCUUUGGUGGAAGAGGCUCGUCAGGCGACUCUGUUAUCUGAUUCACCUUGAGGUUGACAGUUUUGUUCCUUAGAACUUCAUGGGCAGAUGGAACAGCGACUAGUUGCAUUUCGGGGCAACCGUACCAGAGAGCAGGCAUUCAUGCGCUCGUACACAGGCAACACCAGAGAAGCUGGACUCCAUUACAUAAGUGGCAUGCCACUUUACAUUGAGGGCCACCGGAC
This is a long non-coding RNA of Ornithodoros turicata, 227 nucleotides long. RefSeq lists it as uncharacterized. The transcript is spliced from 3 exons. Lineage: Eukaryota; Metazoa; Arthropoda; Arachnida; Ixodida; Argasidae. The record is from RefSeq and is a predicted model, not a curated record.